ACGUGCGCUCAGAAGAGUUGAGACACCAAGAAGCUUCAAGUGUAACUAUAGUGGAGCAUCGAGUCAGUGAACCAGAGGCGUCAGGACUCAGGCGUCAGUGUGGUACGGAAGGCAGGGGAAGAAGCUACGCGCCCGCCCAGCCUCUGUGUAUGUGUUUUGCACGAUUACUGGGAGGCGAUACGAUUCUAUUGGUUAGCAGGGAACAGCGAAUCAUAAGCAGCGUUCAUCGUACAUAAGACUCAAGGCGGCGGAGUUACAGCAGCUGCACACACCAGGAUGAGUCAUGCGGGGUGUUGGGUUGAGUCCACCUAAUGUCUGAUUGCUAUCGUGUCCCCUGCUGUGAGACGCUCCACUCCAAGGCUCCCAGCGCUUCUCUCCUUCACGCCUCGAACUCUGUGAAGUCUACUUAGUUUCGUCUUCAUUGCUUCUCUCCCUAAUUCAACAACAGUAGCAGUACGAUAUUGACUCAGCGGACAAGCCAGUAAGACACCUGAUGGGGCGCGGCGUGUGUGGAGAUACAGACCAAACACACGUGCAUGUUGACCCAGGCAAGCUGUGACCACUCAGGCGACGAGGGGGCGUGGCGGUGACCAGUGGCGCAUCACACGUGGCCGCGCACCAGAUUGACGCCGUGACGCUAGACGCUAACUCGCGAAUCAGGUGUCCAGUUGUCACGUCCCCGUCACCACCACGUAACGCGACACCUCAUUGUGAUUUCCUAUUGGAUUAACGCGUUACGUACAGGUUAUUUGUUAUUGUCUAUUAUUAACAUACCACUCAGAUAUCUGUUUUUAUCAUUAUUUGUAUUAUUUCUUCACCGCCACGUAGUAAGACAUCUGAUUAUUAGUUCCUAUCACUUUAUCUCUUUUCGCUAUUUCUGCUGAUUUAACACUACUUCCUUGUAACACUGUGUUAUUUUAUCUAUGUCUUUAUCAUCAUCGCGUAAAAUGACACUUGUUAUUAAUCACUGACAUUACUUUACGGAGUUGAUUUUGUCAUCAUUGCAUUCCUGUUCAACUGUGCACACAUGUCAUUAUUGUUACUGCCUUGUUUCUAUCACCAUUCUACGUCCCUGUCACCAACACACAACGAAGAGCCAAGUGAUUAUUAUUCCCUAUUCACUUAGCUCUCAAUAUCGUAAGUUAUGGAUGAACAUGUAGUGGGUAUAUGUGCAUGUUGAUCUCAGCGUUAUCUAUUUACAGGAUAUAAGGAAUUAAACUACAUACACACUCACCAUCAAAUUGCUUCUUUACAAAUACACGUGUUUGAAAAUCCAGGAAGAGAUAGAAGAUAAUUACAUCAGUGUCAAUAUCCCGACCACUUAACCUAAUGAAAAAGAGAAAAAAAUUAACACCAACCUCUUUUCCUAACACAAAUUAAUUCGCACCAGGUGUAUUCGUUCAUGUAUUGCUCCUUUACUUGUCUAAUAAACACUAGUCGUAACACCUGCGCCAUUAUACCAGCAAAUGUAUAUCUAUUUAUCACUCAUAUCUUUAAAUCAAUUGACUUUUCACCUGCUGGGAAAAAAUAAACACACAGGUAAAUUAGACAAGGUGUUAAGGUAAAUUGUGGUGAAGUAGGAAGAGGAAGAGAAAGUGAAAAAAAAUGUUGAAAAGAUAGAAAACGUGAGGAGGAGGAGGAACAGGUAAAAAAAAUAGUGAAGAAAGAAGAGUAAAGACGGAAUAAAAAGACAUUAGUUUAAAUCCCACGUGAGAGAGAGAGAGAGAGAGAGAGAGAGAGAGAGAGAGAGAGAGAGAGAGAGGGAGAGAAAAAAUCAGGUGUGGUUAAUAUUAGUGUGAAUGUGUCAGGCCUUUCAGGGGGACCAUUAGUUAAUACACGCGGCAGAAAUAUUAAUGGCAAAGCUUCUAGUGGACUCCUGUUGAUCCUCUCCUCUCUCUGCCGUCUCCAUUUUACUGUGAGGGUCGUAUAUGGUUGUAGGCGCACGAUAAUUCAGUAUCAGCCUUACACUGAACACUACAUAAAAGAAACACUGGGAAUAUGCAACAGGUAGAGAGAAGCAAAUUGGCUCCCUUUUAGUUCUUCCUUCCACAUCAUGACGUUAGUGUCGAUCAGCCUGCUUUGUUUGCGUAUUUGAAAUCAGCUGAUGAAAACACAAAGGUGAGUCUUUUUGGUGAAGAGGACACAUGAGCUGCCAGUGACACAGUAGGCAAGGCACUCAUUCGUAGCUGUAUAUCAUCGCUUCUCAAAGGUGAAAUAUAUGUUACAUUGGGUUUGUGGUAGAAGUGGUGAAUGUGAGAGAUAGACUAUGCUUGUUUUGUGAGACUGGUGGGUAUGUAUAGGUGUUAGGAGUGUAUGUGGGUGUACAGAAGGUAUGUCGGAGUUACAGGAAGCACGUGGCAGUGUGGGUGGGUGUAUGUACGUAGGUGCUAGGAAGGUGAUAUGUGCGGGGUUACAGAAUGCUGG
This 2424-nucleotide long non-coding RNA is filed under the name Portunus trituberculatus (swimming crab). RNAcentral's name for it is "uncharacterized LOC123510551". Lineage: Eukaryota; Metazoa; Arthropoda; Malacostraca; Decapoda; Portunidae. The record is from RNAcentral.